Molecule: ribosomal RNA, 425 nt
Filed under: uncultured bacterium
Lineage: Bacteria
Description: partial 16S ribosomal RNA
Rfam family: Bacterial small subunit ribosomal RNA
Source: RNAcentral
GUGGGGAAUAUUGGACAAUGGGCGCAAGCCUGAUCCAGCAAUGCCGCGUGGGUGAUGAAGGCCUUCGGGUUGUAAAGCCCUUUUGGCGGGGACGAUGAUGACGGUACCCGCCGAAUAAGCUCCGGCUAACUUCGUGCCAGCAGCCGCGGUAAUACGAAGGGAGCUAGCGUUGUUCGGAAUUACUGGGCGUAAAGGGCGCGUAGGCGGCUUCGAUAGUCAGGCGUGAAAUCCCCAGGCUCAACCUGGGAAUUGCGCUUGAUACUGCGAGGCUUGAGUGAGGGAGAGGAUAGUGGAAUUCCCAGUGUAGAGGUGAAAUUCGUAGAUAUUGGGAAGAACACCAGUGGCGAAGGCGGCUAUCUGGACCUCAACUGACGCUGAGGCGCGAAAGCGUGGGGAGCAAACAGGAUUAGAAACCCUAGUAGUCC